Octopus sinensis (East Asian common octopus) is the source of this 114-nucleotide long non-coding RNA. RefSeq lists it as uncharacterized. Lineage: Eukaryota; Metazoa; Mollusca; Cephalopoda; Octopoda; Octopodidae. The record is from RefSeq and is a predicted model, not a curated record. The transcript is spliced from 3 exons.
AUUAUUAUUAUUAUUAUUCCGAGCUCAAAUUUUGCCACGGUCGUCUUUGCAUUUCUUCCUUUCGGGGUCGAUGAAAAUUAGUACCAGUUGGUCACUAGAGUCGAUGCAAUCGCC